AGUGAACGCUGGCGGUAGGCCUAACACAUGCAAGUCGAACGGCAGCACAGUAAGAGCUUGCUCUUACGGGUGGCGAGUGGCUUACGGGUGAGGAAUACAUCGGAAUCUACUUUUUCGUGGGGGAUAACGUAGGGAAACUUACGCUAAUACCGCAUACGACCUACUGGUGAAAGCAGUGGAUCUUCGUACCUUGCGCGAUUGAAUGAGCCGAUGUCGGAUUAGCUAGUUGGCGGGGUAAAGGCCCACCAAGGCGACGAUCCGUAGCUGGUCUGAGAGGAUGAUCAGCCACACUGGAACUGAGAAACGGCCCAGACUCCUACGGGAGGCAGAAGUGGGGAAUAUUGGACAAUGGGCGCAAGCCUGAUCCAGCCAUACCGCGUGGGUGAAGAAGGCCUUCGGGUUGUAAAGCCCUUUUGUUGGGAAAGAAAAGCAGCAGGUUAAUACCCCGCUGUUCUGACGGUACCCAAAGAAUAAGCACCGGCUAACUUCGUG
RNAcentral lists this ribosomal RNA (492 nucleotides) under uncultured bacterium. RNAcentral's name for it is "partial 16S ribosomal RNA". It matches the Rfam family "Bacterial small subunit ribosomal RNA", at positions 29 to 507 of the family's 1533-position model. The record is from RNAcentral.